GUAGGUGGCAAGCGUUGUCGGGAAUUAUUGGGCGUAAAGCGCGCGCAGGCGGUUCGUUUAAGUCUGAUGUGAAAGCCCACGGGCUCAACCGUGGAGGGUCAUUGGAAACUGGAGAACUUGAGUACAGAAGAGGAAAGCGGAAUUCCACGUGUAGCGGUGAAAUGCGUAGAGAUGUGGAGGAACACCAGUGGCGAAGGCGGCUUUCUGGUCUGUAACUGACGCUGAGGCGCGAAAGCGUGGGGAGCAAACAGGAUUAGAUACCCUGGUAGUCCACGCCGUAAACGAUGAGUGCUAAGUGUUAGGGGGUUUCCGCCCCUUAGUGCUGCAGCUAACGCAUUAAGCACUCCGCCUGGGGAGUACGGCCGCAAAGGCUG
Molecule: ribosomal RNA, 374 nt
Filed under: uncultured organism
Description: partial 16S ribosomal RNA
Rfam family: Bacterial small subunit ribosomal RNA
Source: RNAcentral